UGCAGGCUUAACACAUGCAAGUCGAGGGGCAGCAUGGUCUUAGCUUGCUAAGGCCGAUGGCGACCGGCGCACGGGUGAGUAACACGUAUCCAACCUGCCGUCUACUCUUGGACAGCCUUCUGAAAGGAAGAUUAAUACAAGAUGGCAUCAUGAGUCCGCAUGUUCACAUGAUUAAAGGUAUUCCGGUAGACGAUGGGGAUGCGUUCCAUUGGAUAGUAGGCGGGGUAACGGCCCACCUAGUCUUCGAUGGAUAGGGGUUCUGAGAGGAAGGUCCCCCACAUUGGAACUGAGACACGGUCCAAACUCCUACGGGAGGCAGCAGUGAGGAAUAUUGGUCAAUGGGCGAGAGCCUGAACCAGCCAAGUAGCGUGAAGGAUGACUGCCCUAUGGGUUGUAAACUUCUUUUAUAAAGGAAUAAAGUCGGGUAUGGAUACCCGUUUGCAUGUACUUUAUGAAUAAGGAUCGGCUAACUCCGUGCCAGCAGCCGCGGUAAUACGGAGGAUCCGAGCGUUAUCCGGAUUUAUUGGGUUUAAAGGGAGCGUAGAUGGAUGUUUAAGUCAGUUGUGAAAGUUUGCGGCUCAACCGUAAAAUUGCAGUUGAUACUGGAUAUCUUGAGUGCAGUUGAGGCAGGCGGAAUUCGUGGUGUAGCGGUGAAAUGCUUAGAUAUCACGAAGAACUCCGAUUGCGAAGGCAGCCUGCUAAGCUGCAACUGACAUUGAGGCUCGAAAGUGUGGGUAUCAAACAGGAUUAGAUACCCUGGUAGUCCACACGGUAAACGAUGAAUACUCGCUGUUUGCGAUAUACAGCAAGCGGCCAAGCGAAAGCGUUAAGUAUUCCACCUGGGGAGUACGCCGGCAACGGUGAAACUCAAAGGAAUUGACGGGGGCCCGCACAAGCGGAGGAACAUGUGGUUUAAUUCGAUGAUACGCGAGGAACCUUACCCGGGCUUAAAUUGCAGAUGAAUUACGGUGAAAGCCGUAAGCCGCAAGGCAUCUGUGAAGGUGCUGCAUGGUUGUCGUCAGCUCGUGCCGUGAGGUGUCGGCUUAAGUGCCAUAACGAGCGCAACCCUUGUUGUCAGUUACUAACAGGUUCCGCUGAGGACUCUGACAAGACUGCCAUCGUAAGAUGUGAGGAAGGUGGGGAUGACGUCAAAUCAGCACGGCCCUUACGUCCGGGGCUACACACGUGUUACAAUGGGGGGUACAGAGGGCCGCUACCACGCGAGUGGAUGCCAAUCCCCAAAACCUCUCUCAGUUCGGACUGGAGUCUGCAACCCGACUCCACGAAGCUGGAUUCGCUAGUAAUCGCGCAUCAGCCACGGCGCGGUGAAUACGUUCCCGGGCCUUGUACACACCGCCCGUCAAGCCAUGGGAGCCGGGGGUACCUGAAGUGCGUAACCGCGAGGAGCGCCCUAGGGUAAAACUGGUGACUGG
Molecule: ribosomal RNA, 1433 nt
Filed under: uncultured organism
Description: SSU rRNA
Rfam family: Bacterial small subunit ribosomal RNA
Source: RNAcentral